AGUGAACGCUGGCGGUAGGCCUAACACAUGCAAGUCGAACGGCAGCACAGUAAGAGCUUGCUCUUACGGGUGGCGAGUGGCGGACGGGUGAGGAAUACAUCGGAAUCUACUUUUUCGUGGGGGAUAACGUAGGGAAACUUACGCUAAUACCGCAUACGACCUACGGGUGAAAGCAGGGGAUCUUCGGACCUUGCGCGAUUGAAUGAGCCGAUGUCGGAUUAGCUAGUUGGCGGGGUAAAGGCCCACCAAGGCGACGAUCCGUAGCUGGUCUGAGAGGAUGAUUCGCCACACUGGAACUGAGACACGGUCCAGACUCCUACGGGAGGCAGCAGUGGGGAAUAUUGGACAAUGGGGGCAAGCCUGAUCCAGCCAUACCGCGUGGGUGAAGAAGGCCUUCGGGUUGUAAAGCCCUUUUGUUGGGAAAGAAAAGCAGCAGGUUAAUACCCCGCUGUUCUGACGGUACCCAAAGAAUAAGCACCGGCUAACUUCGUG
Molecule: ribosomal RNA, 492 nt
Filed under: uncultured bacterium
Lineage: Bacteria
Description: partial 16S ribosomal RNA
Rfam family: Bacterial small subunit ribosomal RNA
Source: RNAcentral